GGAUGCGAUCAUACCAGCACU
RNAcentral lists this non-coding RNA (21 nucleotides) under Arabidopsis thaliana (thale cress). Lineage: Eukaryota; Viridiplantae; Streptophyta; Magnoliopsida; Brassicales; Brassicaceae. RNAcentral also lists the same sequence under 22 other names. The record is from RNAcentral.